RNAcentral lists this ribosomal RNA (895 nucleotides) under uncultured archaeon. RNAcentral describes it as "bacterial SSU rRNA". It matches the Rfam family "Archaeal small subunit ribosomal RNA", at positions 17 to 921 of the family's 1478-position model. The record is from RNAcentral.
CCGGACUGACUGCUAUCGGAUUGAUACUAAGCCAUGCGAGUCAUUGUAGCAAUACAAGGCAGACGGCUCAGUAACGCGUAGUCAAUCUACCCUAUGGACGGGAAUAAUCUCGGGAAACUGAGAAUAAUGCCCGAUAGAACAUUAUGCCUGGAAUGGUUUAUGUUUCAAAUGAUUUAUCGCCAUAGGAUGGGACUGCGGCCUAUCAGUUUGUUGGUGAGGUAAUGGCCCACCAAGACUAUUACAGGUACGGGCUCUGAGAGGAGAAGCCCGGAGAUGGGUACUGAGACACGGACCCAGGCCCUAUGGGGCGCAGCAGGCGAGAAACCUUAGCAAUGUGCGAAAGCACGACUAGGUUAAUCCGAGUGAUUCCUGUUGAAGGAAUCUUUUGUCAGUCGUAAAACCACAGACGAAUAAGGGGUGGGCAAGUCUGGUGUCAGCCGCCGCGGUAAUACCAGCACCUCGAGUGGUCAGGAGGUUUAUUGGGCCUAAAGCAUCCGUAGCCGGCUUUGCAAGUCUCCGGUUAAAUCCAGCUGCUCAACAGAUGGGCUGCCGGAGAUACUACACAGCUAGGGAGCGGGAGAGGCAGACGGUAUUCUGUGGGUAGGGGUAAAAUCCAUUGAUCCAUAGAGGACCACCAGUGGCGAAGGCGGUCUGCCAGAACGCGUUCGACGGUGAGGGAUGAAAGCUGGGGGAGCAAACCGGAUUAGAUACCCGGGUAGUCCCAGCUGUAAACGAUGCAAACUCGGUGAUGCAUUGGCUUAUGGCCAAUGCAGUGCCGCAGGGAAGCCGUUAAGUUUGCCGCCUGGGAAGUACGGACGCAAGUCUGAAACUUAAAGGAAUUGGCGGGGGAGCACCACAAGGGGUGAAGCCUGCGGUUCAAUUGGAUCAACGCCGG